GACGAACGCUGGCGGCGUGCUUAACACAUGCAAGUCGAACGGAAAGGCCCUGCUUUUGUGGGGUGCUCGAGUGGCGAACGGGUGAGUAACACGUGAGUAACCUGCCCUUGACUUUGGGAUAACUUCAGGAAACUGGGGCUAAUACCGGAUAGGAGCUCCUGCUGCAUGGUGGGGGUUGGAAAGUUUCGGCGGUUGGGGAUGGACUCGCGGCUUAUCAGCUUGUUGGUGGGGUAGUGGCUUACCAAGGGUUUGACGGGUAGCCGGCCUGAGAGGGUGACAGGCCACAUUGGGACUGAGAUACGGACCAGAGUACUACGGGAGGCAGCAGUGGGGAAUAUUGCACAAUGGGCGGAAGCAUGAUGCAGGAACGCAGGGUGCGGGAUGACGGCCUUCGGGUUGUAAACCGCUUUCGCCUGUGACGAAGCGUGAGUGACGGUAAUGGGUAAAGAAGCACCGGCUAACUACGUG
RNAcentral lists this ribosomal RNA (468 nucleotides) under uncultured bacterium. RNAcentral describes it as "partial 16S ribosomal RNA". It matches the Rfam family "Bacterial small subunit ribosomal RNA", at positions 28 to 507 of the family's 1533-position model. The record is from RNAcentral.